Molecule: long non-coding RNA, 209 nt
Filed under: Vitis vinifera (wine grape)
Lineage: Eukaryota; Viridiplantae; Streptophyta; Magnoliopsida; Vitales; Vitaceae
Description: long non-coding RNA (VVIN_LNC008016)
Source: RNAcentral
AAUCAGUGUGAGUACCGGAACAUUGUUGAAUCCAGGCUAGUACCGGCAAAAGGUGGAAUCCGUGCGAGUACCGAAAAACUGUCCGGACCAGUUCGUAAAAAUGGUAGAAUCAGUGUGAGUACCAAAAAAUUGUUGAAUCCGGGUGAGUACCGGGAAAAGGUGGAAUCCGUGCGAGUACCGAAAAACUGUCCGGACCAGUACGGAAAAAU